GAUGAACGCUAGCGAUAGGCUUAACACAUGCAGGUCGAGGGGCAGCAUAAUUUUAGCUUGCUAAGAUUGAUGGCGACCGGCGCACGGGUGCGUAACGCGUAUGCAACUUACCUUAUAGAGGGGGAUAGCCCGUUUAACGACGGAUUAAUACCGCGUAUACAAACAGCUCGGCGUCGAGUAAUUUGGAAAUGAAUUUCGCUAUAAGAUAGGCAUGCGUCCCAUUAGCUAGUUGGUGAGGUAACGGCUCACCAAGGCGACGAUGGGUAGGGGAACUGAGAGGUUGAUCCCCCACACUGGUACUGAGACACGGACCAGACUCCUACGGGAGGCAGCAGUGAGGAAUAUUGGUCAAUGGACGUAAGUCUGAACCAGCCAAAUCGCGUGAAGGAUGACUGUCUUAUGGAUUGUAAACUUCUUUUAUACGGGAAUAAUCACAGAUACGUGUAUCUGUUUGAAGGUACCGUACGAAUAAGCAUCGGCUAACUCCGUGCCAGCAGCCGCGGUAAUACGGAGGAUGCGAGCGUUAUCUGGAUUUAUUGGGUUUAAAGGGUGCGUAGGUGGUCUGAUAAGUCAGCGGUGAAAUCUCCGAGCUCCACUCGGACACUGCCGUUGAAACUGUUAGACUUGAGUGUAGAUGAGGUAGGCGGAAUGCGUGGUGUAGCGGUGAAAUGCAUAGAUAUCACGCAGAACUCCGAUUGCGAAGGCAGCUUACUAAGGUACAACUGACACUGAAGCACGAAAGCGUGGGUAUCAAACAGGAUUAGAUACCCUGGUAGUCCACGCUGUAAACGAUGAUUACUGGGCGUAUGCGAUAUACAGUAUGCUCCUAAGCGAAAGCGUUAAGUAAUCCACCGGGGGAGUACGCCGGCAACGGUGAAACUCAAAGGAAUUGACGGGGGCCCGCACAAGCGGAGGAACAUGUGGUUUAAUUCGAUGAUACGCGGGGAACCUUACCUGGGUUUAAACUUUGAUUGACCGUCCAAGAGAUUGGAUUUCCCUUCGGGGCAAUCAUUUAGGUGCUGCAUGGUUGUUGUCAGCUCGUGCCGUGAGGUGUCGGCUUAAGUGCCAUAACGAGCGCAACCCCUGUCUACGGUUACCAUCAGGUUAUGCUGGGGAUUCAGUAGAGACGCCAGUCAAAGGGGUGAGGAAGGGGGGGAUGACGUCAAAUCAGCACGCCUUUUACAUCAGGGUACCACACGUGACAAUGGUAAGUACAAAAGGAAGCAACACAGGGAACUAGGUGCAAUUCUCAAACCCUCAUCUCAGUCCGGAUCGGAGUCUGCAACUCGACUCCAUGAAGUCGGAUUCGCUAGUAAUCGCGGAUCAGACAUGCCCCGGAAAUACUUUCCCGGCCU
Molecule: ribosomal RNA, 1355 nt
Filed under: uncultured bacterium
Lineage: Bacteria
Description: bacterial SSU rRNA
Rfam family: Bacterial small subunit ribosomal RNA
Source: RNAcentral